AAUCUCCAUUAUUGAUCUUGUUACUCAAGUUCUUGCAGGUCUUGAUUAUGAUUAUAAUCCAGUUGUAUGUCAACUUGUGGAUAAGAAAGAUAUUACAUGGGUAGAGCUUCAAGCUACUUUGCUCACUUUUGAGA
Molecule: small nucleolar RNA, 134 nt
Organism: Prosopis cineraria
Lineage: Eukaryota; Viridiplantae; Streptophyta; Magnoliopsida; Fabales; Fabaceae
Product: small nucleolar RNA Z247
Exons: 1
Source: RefSeq, a predicted model, not a curated record